GUGGGGAAUAUUGGGCAAUGGGCGCAAGCCUGACCCAGCAACGCCGCGUGAAGGAAGAAGGCUUUCGGGUUGUAAACUUCUUUUGUCAGGGACGAGUAGAAGACGGUACCUGACGAAUAAGCCACGGCUAACUACGUGCCAGCAGCCGCGGUAAUACGUAGGUGGCAAGCGUUGUCCGGAUUUACUGGGUGUAAAGGGCGUGUAGCCGGGAAGGCAAGUCAGAUGUGAAAUCCACGGGCUCAACUCGUGAACUGCAUUUGAAACUGUUUUUCUUGAGUAUCGGAGAGGCAAUCGGAAUUCCUAGUGUAGCGGUGAAAUGCGUAGAUAUUAGGAGGAACACCAGUGGCGAAGGCGGAUUGCUGGACGACAACUGACGGUGAGGCGCGAAAGCGUGGGGAGCAAACAGGAUUAGAUACCCCGGUAGUCC
RNAcentral lists this ribosomal RNA (427 nucleotides) under uncultured bacterium. RNAcentral's name for it is "partial 16S ribosomal RNA". It matches the Rfam family "Bacterial small subunit ribosomal RNA", at positions 354 to 796 of the family's 1533-position model. The record is from RNAcentral.